Molecule: ribosomal RNA, 253 nt
Filed under: uncultured Nitrospira sp.
Lineage: Bacteria; Pseudomonadati; Nitrospirota; Nitrospiria; Nitrospirales; Nitrospiraceae
Description: partial 16S ribosomal RNA
Rfam family: Bacterial small subunit ribosomal RNA
Source: RNAcentral
UACGAAGGUGGCAAGCGUUGUUCGGAUUCACUGGGCGUACAGGGUGUGUAGGCGGUUCGGUAAGCCCUCUGGGAAAGCUCUGGGCUCAACCCAGAAAGGUCAGGGGGGACUGCCGGGCUAGAGUAUGGGAGAGGAGCGCGGAAUUCCCGGUGUAGCGGUGAAAUGCGUAGAUAUCGGGAGGAAGGCCGGUGGCGAAGGCGGCGCUCUGGAACAUUACUGACGCUGAGACACGAAAGCGUGGGGAGCAAACAGG